This 728-nucleotide ribosomal RNA is filed under the name Chloropicon mariensis. RNAcentral's name for it is "partial Bacterial large subunit ribosomal RNA". It matches the Rfam family "Bacterial large subunit ribosomal RNA", at positions 1133 to 1837 of the family's 2925-position model. The record is from RNAcentral. Lineage: Eukaryota; Viridiplantae; Chlorophyta; Chloropicophyceae; Chloropicales; Chloropicaceae.
CGUAACAGCUCACUGGUCGAGCGAGACGAGCAUCGAUAAUAAACGGGCAUGAAGCACCCCACUGAAGCCGUGGACACCAGCUUAGGGCUGGUUGUGGUAGGAGAGCAUUCUAAGGGGGGUGAAGGUGAAGCGUGAGCUUUGCUGGACCGCUUAGAAAAGCCAAUGUAGGCAUAAGUAACGAGAAACAGAGUGAGAACCUCUGUCACCGAAAGACGAAGGAUUCCACCGCUAUGGCAAUCAACGGUGGGUUAGUCGGCUCCUAAGGGGAAGGCGAGAGCCGCACCUGAGGGUAAACGGGUUAAUAUUCCCGUACUGGUUCGUUGAGAGAAGCGGGGACGGAGUACAAAACUGGCCGCGGACUGCGGGAAAUGUCCGUUGAAGGCUGUAAGCUAUUGGUUCCAUAGGGAAGUCCGUGGGAUCAGGUGGAAGCUGAUAGUACACUGAGCUCUUCGGAGCCCGGUGAUAGUGCCAGGGCUGGUCUUCCAAGAAAAGCCGCUAUCGUUAAUUGACGGAGCAACCGUACCGCAAACCGACACAGGUGGGCGAGAUGAGUAUUCUAAGGCGCUUGAGAGAACUCGGGAGAAGGAACUCGGCAAAUUGGUACCGUAACUUCGGGAUAAGGUACGCCCUAGUAGUUUGACCACUUUACUGUGGAAGGAUGAACGGGUUGCAAUAAAAUGGUGGCUGCGACUGUUUAAUAAAAACACAGCACUCUGCAAACACGAAAG